Molecule: long non-coding RNA, 1274 nt
Organism: Ooceraea biroi (clonal raider ant)
Lineage: Eukaryota; Metazoa; Arthropoda; Insecta; Hymenoptera; Formicidae
Source: RefSeq, a predicted model, not a curated record
GUUUUCCAAGUGUUUGAUCUCGAUUCUUAUCCUUGCCCCCACGAUCGACAAGCUUCGAUCACAAGACGCGGACGUUUGACGGCCGGCUGGCGCGCGACAUUUCUUUAUAUCUGCCGUGUAACACGUGGCGAGGACGCGGCAAUCCGCGGUGCAAAUGCAACUCGUGCAGCUCGUAGAUGCAACUGGCCGCGCGCUUCGCGCGUCGCGGCAAAACGGUCGCGCGGCAGAACGGGGGCGGAACGAAGGCGCACGGGGGAGCAGAGCGAGAUCGUUUAAUCUGCCUUUUCGUGGAUGCUGCCAGGUGCAGCCUCUCGGCGACCGACGCAAUUGCCGUGCUCGAUAUAAACGCGAACGGCGAAGACAUAUGCAUGCACGUGCCCUCAGGGUCGCGGCUCUCAGUGCCUUCGCGAGAAAAAGACCGGAUGGGCGACUCUGAUACCGAGGCCGCGUUACGCACCCUUGAUGAGCGUUUCGGAGUGAUCAGCCCUUAGACUGCCUAACUCCCGGAAGAGAACAAGAGGAAGCGUCGCGCACGAGAUUCUUCCAUCGAGAACCAACAAAGAAUCGAGAAGAGGGUACCUCUUGUAGCCGAGGAUGCGGAUGUUCCAGAGCACGGAUGAGAGAAAAGCGCGCCGAGCGGGUGUAGGGAAGCAAGUAAGGCACGUCACGCGCGAGAGGAAUCCGUAAGAUCGUUCGAUCUUACAAUCGAAGACCACGCGUCUCGCCGAAGGACGAGCAGGACUGUCGGUGAAGCCACGGCGGCGUUCCCCGUGUCAACCCCUUCGAGGAGCUCUGCACGAAGGAGCGACGUGGUGGAGAGCGUGCGACGCGUGUCCGCGGCGCGAGAAUACUGCUCCUCUUGCGAAAGGUGGAGGCGCCUGCACGCUCUUCGGUAUUGAUCCACGUGGACGACACUCCUCUCCUCGUUCGUUCGACCAGCCCCGCCGUCUCUUCGUGGCCGUCCAUCGGCGAUCUGCCUUGUUCUGCUCGCGAUCACUGCCGCUGGUUCAGCGGCUUGCGUGGCUGCCUGGACCCCAUGGGAUUUCCUCGGCAGGUUGAAACAGCCAUCAGGGACAUGGCUGGCUGGAAGAGAUCGACGACCUCGGGCGGUUUUUCGUAGGCGCGACACUCGGGGGUAGAUUCGUCGAUGCGUCAGUGAACGACCAAUUAACUCUGAGGACCGCGUAUGCGUUUAAAGAAAUAUGUAGAUAUAAGCGCGCGUAUCCAGAUUAGUAAAAAUACAUCUGAGUUGAAUAAAGAUAUAAAUAAAAAAA